Molecule: unclassified non-coding RNA, 213 nt
Filed under: uncultured Rhizophagus
Lineage: Eukaryota; Fungi; Glomeromycota; Glomeromycetes; Glomerales; Glomeraceae
Description: partial internal transcribed spacer 2
Source: RNAcentral
UUAAUAAAAAUCGGCGUGUUGCUCUUUUGUGACGUUCCGGAGUUUGGGUCAUCUUAUAACAACACCCUUUCAGGUAUUUUUAAGAGGCUUAAAAUUGACCUUUUUUUGUGCAUUUUUUAGACGUACAUAAAUUUUUUUUUAUUCGUCUAUCUUGAUGCCAAAUCUAUUAGAUGCGACCAUAUCGUGUGGUUCCGUGUCUAUAAAUUUUUCAUG